UGCUCUCUGGAAAAAGUAGUGAUUUCUAAGCUGGUUCUCUUUAAGCAAGUGAUUCCAUGAUAAACAGAUAGAAACGUGUUUCUGCCAUUCACUGGAAGAAAAGCUUUUUGAUCCUUACCUAUGUUACGUUUCUGAGAGCACUAAUUAAUUUAAGGCAUUCUUCUAUUGUGCUGCACUAAAUUCUAGAGUAUAAGCAGCUCCCACAUUGUCAACCACAGCCAGAUAAUGACUCAUUUUUCCAUAACACAAAUGUCCAAUUCCCUGUUUUAGUUUUUAUUCAAGCUUACUGACUGACUCUAUUUAAGUAACACAUGUUAGGACGAAGAAACCCUAGUCCAGGUGGAAGAUUCACUUCAGAAAAGAGUAUGGGGAUCCACAGUGCACUCAGGUUUUAAAAAAUAGAAGAAAUGAGAAAUGACACUUGCACAUAUUAUACACAAAAUUCCUAAUGUAUUUUUGCCUUCAAAUUGAUAUCAUUGUCUUACUAAGCAAAAUUGCCAUUGGUGAUUUUAAAAAUGCAGAAUUCUUCUCCCAACACCCUUUCCUAUCUUGUUUUCAUCUUCACCACUAGCAUCAUCUUGAAGAAAGCACAGCUGAGCCCAGGAGAUAUUAUGAAACCAAAUCUUGCCCAUGACGAUGCUACUAAUAGGCACCGACUUCAUUCAAACUCAAGAGCACCCAAAUGGAUGAUCUGUUUGCUGAAGCAAUCAGUGAAUAAUGAGACAGGAUGAAGAAACUGAAGCUUAGAGAGGUGAUGCAUCUUGAAAAUGCAUUAGAAUUCUCCUGAAAAACAGGACCAACAGGAUGUGAGAACGUUUUAUUUGAAGAAAUUGGCUCACAUGAUUGUGGCGGCUUGACGAGUCCGAAAUCUGAUGGGGUAGGCUGGCAGGCUGGAGACCCAGGGAAGAGGUACAUCUGCUGGCAGAAUCCAUUCUUGCUCAGGGGAGGUCAGUUUCAGGGGCUGUAGUGCUGCACUGUCCACUUUCAGGUGGGACCUGCACAUCAUGCAGAAACACCUAUAAACCAGGCUCGAGCUUCCUCUUCUCUACAUUAAAUCAAGGUAGGCCUGGCACUUCUCACUCACUCAUUGUGGUCCACCUUCUGGUCCAUGUUUGUCAACCAACCAAUCAGUUAUAUAGCACUAACUCCCUGAGUCGCAACAUUAAAUGCAAAAAUGGUGCUCGAUUGGCCCGUCAAUACAUUCAGCCUGAUUCAAUUUUAUGUUUCUUCCAUCUUUAUCCCACACCUUUAAUAUCCAUUCCCCCACAUAUUCCCUGGAUUUCUGACUAAAUUAGAAAACUCGAGUAGUACUUUUGGAAUGUAGUAUGACUCAUGGAUCACAUUUUGUGCCUCACCUUUUGGGACUGCUAGGACUUGAGUCUAGUUAUAGUUCUAGAAGCCAAGAGGUAAUGGGGAUGUGUCCUGAGGAGAAUCAGCAUUGUCUUGGAAGGCAAGUGCAUCGGGGGAGGUCAUGAUUCCUUAAGCAAUGAAAGGUUAGUUCCCUCAGGUGGGGUGGAGAGGACACAUCUACUGGGGUGGAGAAACUGCUUCUACUGACAAAGACGACUCACUGGAAUUUAGGGACUCAAUAUCCUCAGUGCCAUCAAGGCCUUUCCAUACGCUCCCAUUCCAACUUUCAGGGUCCUAUUAAUUCCCAAUCAAUGGCCUCACUUUAGAAGUAGACAACCUGCAAAGUUGAAAAUUCAAUCUGCAUUUUAAUUUAGCCACUUACAGGACGUGAUUCGGAGUAGAUUUUUAACCAUCUUGGCUCUGCAGCUACUGGAGAUAAGGGUCUUCUUCAGGGCAGAAAGUUUCAGGUCACUUAUAUUAUACUUUAGCUGACAAUUGGAAUCCCUGACUCAUCCUUUCUUUUCCCAUUUUGUCCAGUAACAUUAGGGACAACCAAUCUUAUACUUGUUAUUUUGAAAAAUA
Molecule: long non-coding RNA, 1932 nt
Filed under: Callithrix jacchus (white-tufted-ear marmoset)
Lineage: Eukaryota; Metazoa; Chordata; Mammalia; Primates; Cebidae
Description: lncRNA (ENSCJAG00000079502.1)
Source: RNAcentral